This is a long non-coding RNA of Sebastes umbrosus (honeycomb rockfish), 2431 nucleotides long. RefSeq lists it as uncharacterized. Lineage: Eukaryota; Metazoa; Chordata; Actinopteri; Perciformes; Sebastidae. The transcript has 2 exons. The record is from RefSeq and is a predicted model, not a curated record.
GACAAUAUUAUAUAGAUUCUUUGGACAACAAUACAAUAUUUGCUGAUAUCACAAAGUCUGCCACGAUACGAUUUGAUUCAAUUCAGGGGUCUGCGAUCCAUAUGAGACAAUAUCAUAUGUCCAUUUAAAACAAUCAGUUACAUUCAUAUGAACUCAGAAAAAUCUACUAAAAUUAUGCUUUGACAAUUUUAUUACUGGGCUCUUCCAGACAUUUAAAUAAAAGACAAAGUGUGUAAAGGCGUAUCUUAAAGAUGACAAUAUGUACCGAUAUUUUCACCUUUGCAUCGAUGAUACUGGAUCGUUGAAUCGAUAUAUCGAUCCAGAUCGAUGUAUCGUUUCACCCCUAUCCUGUAGUAGUGUUAUUAUGGGUCUAGAGGAUGGCCUCUGAGCGAGGCGAACACAGUUUUGCACUCAGCGUCUCACGUUAUCGUCGUCCUGGAAAGGGAGGAGUGAGCGGAGGGGUACACUAGAUGCUACCAAAUCCUACACACUGUCCCUUUAAUGAUUGUGCCAUGGAUUCAAGUUUACUUUUUAUUAAUAAUGAGGCCCUAGAUCUGCUCUACAUAACCCACUGUGGUUGGCAUUAUAUUUGGCUGCAUACUGUAUAAGCAAGUGGAUUUUGCUUUAUUAUAUACAGGAGGAGAGCGGAUCAGAGGGAAGACGUUAUGAGUCACAUCUCAGAUAUUUGUUUGGAGACCUGAAAGCUGACCUGCAGUACAUAUCCAGCAUGACCGCCGUACAAAGAUGAGGUCCAUUGCAAGAUCCAGCGUAGCUACUGCAGCGCCUCACCAGUUUGCUGAGGAGAGGAGAUGUCAGUUGUGUCAGCGCUUAAAACCCUCUAAGUGGUUUUGAGAUGCAGGUCUUUCCAUCAGCGGCUGCUCCUUUCUCACUGCAGGCCUUAAGGUAACAACAACACACGGGCAUUUGUAAGCAAGACAGGAAGACGGUCUCCUCCGGCCUUCAGAGGGAUUAAGGGAUAACACGUAACUGUGUUUUUGUAAUGAAAAAAAAACGCAGUGGUUCAUAAGAGCUGAAGGCAAAAUGAGGUUUCUGUAUUGCCAAAAAUGCUCAAUCAGAGAGCACUGUGACAGUCAAACAACACUUGUAAUAACAGCAAGACAGGAAGUGGAUAAAAUAGAGCACAAUGAGCAUAAGAAUAAAUCAUGAGGUACAAAACCAGACAAGGUUGGAACAAAUGAGGUCAGAAACGGUGACUGUGUGGGAAAUGUAACUGCAGGGAAGAGGGCGUGGACAUUACUCAUCGCAGAGAGGAAGAAAAAAACAUGGAAAUGCAAAAAAAAGUGGGAAAAAAACACAGACACACCUCAUAAAUGCAUAUCUCCCUGCUCUGACCGCUGCUCUGUCAUCCCCGUGUCCCUGGGAGGUGACAGUAGAUACAGUAAUAUUGCCAAAAAAUGCUCCUGCAGCUCCACUAGUCUGUUAAAGAGGUAGUACACCACCUAACAUAUCUGACUUUUCAUUCAGCUGCUCCCUUCAUUUAUUUAUUUUUCAUCACAGAUCCGUUUGUUAUCUUCAACUGACGGUACCUUUAUCGUGUACAGACAUGAGAUUUAUUUUAUUUAUUGAUAAUUUAUUGACAUUGUAUUGAUUAUUUAUGUUGCCAUUUUGUAUGAGGUCCACAUGUUCCUUUUUUUUCUGUUUCUUGUGAUCUGAGUCUCUCACUGCAUCAAAUUCACAGAUGGAGGGCAAGAAGAGAGGGGGAAAGUGAAGAUAAAAAGGUCUCUGUUUACAGUGGAUUUAAUUUGGUUUCUUUAUCCAGUCAUGGAGGUAGAAAUGUGCAAACAUUUGACAAAACAAACUUGAACUUCAAUCUUAUAUCGGUGCAUUAAUCCUCCCCAGAAUGUCAACAUAUCUAAACAUAUCCAAACUAAAAGUUGAAUACUGGGUGUAAAUAGUGCAGAGCCCUGUUUCAGAAAGCAGUACAAGUGAAAACUGUGAGUUAGUUAUUGCUGAGAUCAGGGAAACCCAGCUGCUUUCUGAAACGGAGCCCAGAUAUGUCUCAAAUCUUUACUGUUAUAGAUCCAAAGCUGAAGUUUCACAUGCACAAAAUCAGAUCAUUAACUGGUAAUGUGUGUGCUUUUAUACACACGGAAAACUCCAGCUUCAGGUUAAUCUGGUUCAGACCAAUAGGAGGGCAGACUAAAAGACUAAAACGUUGUGAUGUGCUCUGAAAAAGAAAACAAGUUGGGAGGUGAUGGAAGGAAAGAAACUGUGAGAGAUAGCCAGGGAGAGGAGGAGGAGGAGGAGGAGGAGGAGGGAUGGGAGAUUGUCUUUGUUAGCUUGUGUGUUCAUUAUGGGAUGCCUUCUAUCCCGCCGUCGGCAAGGGGACGGCGGCAUGGAAACAGCUGUUCCCCCCGUUACCGCGGAAACAAGAGAAAUGUUGGACAUUAAAAAAAAAGACUUAUUCCUA